GAUGAACGCUAGCUACAGGCUUAACACAUGCAAGUCGAGGGGAAACGACAUCGAAAGCUUGCUUUUGAUGGGCGUCGACCGGCGCACGGGUGAGUAACGCGUAUCCAACCUGCCCAUCACUUGGGAAUAACCUUGCGAAAGUAAGACUAAUACCCAAUGAUAUCCCACGAAGGCAUCGGAAUGGGAUUAAAGAUUUAUCGGUGAUGGAUGGGGAUGCGUCUGAUUAGCUUGUUGGCGGGGUAACGGCCCACCAAGGCAACGAUCAGUAGGGGUUCUGAGAGGAAGGUCCCCCACAUUGGAACUGAGACACGGUCCAAACUCCUACGGGAGGCAGCAGUGAGGAAUAUUGGUGAAUGGGCGAGAGCCUGAACCAGCCAAGUAGCGUGCAGGAAGACGGCCCUAUGGGUUGUAAACUGCUUUUAUAAGGGAAUAAAGUGGGUCACGUGUGACUUUUUGCAUGUACCUUAUGAAUAAGGACCGGCUAAUUCCGUG
RNAcentral lists this ribosomal RNA (492 nucleotides) under uncultured bacterium. RNAcentral describes it as "partial 16S ribosomal RNA". It matches the Rfam family "Bacterial small subunit ribosomal RNA", at positions 28 to 507 of the family's 1533-position model. The record is from RNAcentral.